This 649-nucleotide long non-coding RNA is filed under the name Homo sapiens (human). Its description in RNAcentral is "PREDICTED lncRNA (TCONS_00022049)". The record is from RNAcentral. Lineage: Eukaryota; Metazoa; Chordata; Mammalia; Primates; Hominidae.
CUGACAGAACCAGAGCUGUUAGAGCAGGGACGCGCGAAAGGCGGGAGUACGGGCGGCGCUGGAGAACCUCCGCGGCGGAGGGGCCUGGGGGUGGGACCGCGCCCGCGAGCCCGCCCUGACCGGGGUGUCUGUGUGCUUGUGAAGCGCUCCCUUGUUAGUUCCUUCUGUGAGACUCGGGGGAGACUGAAGAGGGAAAUCACCUGCGGGGAAUGAACAGGAAAGCAAUAAGAAGAUUUGGAAAAGAGGCACUGGCUACUGGAGGAAGGGAGAAAUCACCGAGAGAGCGAAAGAUGUAACAGAUGCAGUGACUCAUGCCUAUAAUCCCAGUACUUUGGAAGGUCAAGGCACAAGGAUCCAUUGAGGCCAGGAGUCCAAGACCAGCCUGCACAAUGUAGCAAGACUCCUUCUCUACAAAAAAAUAAAUAAAAAUUAGCCAGGCAUGGUGGUGCACUCCUGUAGUCCCAGCUACUCAAGAGGCUGAUGUAGAGAAUCGCAUUAUCCCAGAGGUCAAGGCUGCAGUGAGCCGUGAUCAUGCCUCUGCACUCCAGCCUGGACGAUAGAGCAAGACUUUAUCUCAAAAAACAAAAAUUUAAAAAGAUAUCAGGUAGCUCAUAGAAUUGUUGAGAGGGCUGUAAAACCAGGCUUGAAC